Molecule: long non-coding RNA, 1429 nt
Organism: Hemibagrus wyckioides
Lineage: Eukaryota; Metazoa; Chordata; Actinopteri; Siluriformes; Bagridae
Exons: 3
Source: RefSeq, a predicted model, not a curated record
UAUGGGUUGAAUCUGAUAAUUAAUGUGCGAUAUCCAAAUAAAAUGAUUAUAGGCUGUAAUUGUUUGGGUGUUUGUGGUUGUUUUGUGUUUGUUUAUGUUGUGUUUAUUUGGCUCUGAUUUUGCCCAGGUUUAUUUGUGUUGCUGCAACUUGUACUUCAAGGCUUCACAGAAAUGAACCACAUUGUUGAUUUAAGUGUUUUGGAGAUGGUUACAAACAUACCUUGUAGAUAUCUAUCGUUUAAUGCCCAUUAAAGCCCGAGUUCAUUUAAGGAAAUGUGAGGUGAAAUGCUCUAUUAUCUUUUAAAUGUUGAGAUUUUUCAAUUUAGUCGAGGUUGUUUCCCACCCGGUGAAUGGAGAAGAAUCACAAUCAGUGGCGGCUUUUAACUGGCGAUCUGCUGAGUGCUAAUGAGACUCGUUGAGAAUGCUCCAAUCACAUGAGGCCAAAUAUAUAAACACAACACUGAUUCGCUAACGACACUGGGAGGGUUCAAGGACGAUUUGAAAUAAGCCAAUCGGAGCUCAGCCUCAAGUCACGUGCUUUUCAAAAUUUUACGGACCAACACGCUCGUUUGUCGCGUCGCGCGCGCGCGCGAACGGAACAUAGUUUUGAUUUUUUUUUAUUUUAAACAAAUUAUUAAAAUGAAAAGAAUUCGAAGUAUUUCACUUCUGCAACAUUUCAUGUAUGCAUUUAAACUCCUGAGCGGUUAUAGACUUGGAGGAAACGACGUGCUGCCCGCUGUGAUGACCAGGAACAUGGGGAGAUUCUAAACUCUUUUUGGCAUUUUUGUUUUUUUGGCCAGUGGCAGUAAAAACACUGGAGAGAGAUGGGAUGAUUUACAGCAAAGGGCCUGAGCUGGACCUGAAGCUUGACUGCCUGAAGAACAGUACAGUAUGUGGGACGCCCUCUACCGGUCGUUCUUGAAAUGGACCUCAUCAAUCUCUUUCCUGUUCUACAAAUCAUCCCUUUUGAUCAGACGCUGGUCUUGUCCAGGAUAAAUAUUGAGAGGAUCAGAUCAGCCCACAGUGGACAACCUGCAGGUCCUCAAGCUGAACUAGUGACCGUACAUGCUGUAGCUUCCAGUUUCUCGAACAUCAUGUCCAAGUCUAUCCCAUGUCUUCACACAAGUCUGGACUCAGUGACUUAUUCCUCUUGUUCAACCAGGGCAAGUAAGCCCUGAUACAUAAUGUUUGUUUUUCACCAUGGAUUAUCCGUCAUAUGGACAUGUGCUGUUUUUUCAAGAUUUCAUUACUAAUUUGUGAGUACUGGACAAGGUAUUUGAUCAAUUCAAACUGUUUACAACACUGAAUAUGUACAUGUUUUCUUGCUUUAGUCUGACAAUGAUAUUUUUGUGCCUUGGUUUACAGUGGACCUUAUUCAUUUAGUAAUUAAUCAUAAAAGGUUGUUGACAGGAAAAUCUAGGCAAACCAA